AGAUCACCUAGCUCGUCAUGCUAGAGCACAUUUUCAAUGUGCUCCCAAAUGACAAGGCGAUGAUGCAUUCGUAUGUCAAUCCAUAUCAACUUUCGAUGCCAUUUACUGUGCUUACCAUGAUGACCACGGGGAAUCAGGGUUCGAUUCCGUACAGGGACCCUGACAAACGGCUACCACGUGCAAGGAAGGCAGCAGGCGCGCAAAUGACCCACUCCCGAUGUGGGGAGGUAGUGACGACAAAUAACAAUACAGGAUUCUUUAGAGGCCACUUGAAAUCCUUUAACUCUGAUCAAUUGGAGGGCAAGUCUGGUGCAGAGCGACUGACCCAUGCGUGCUCCAG
Pelobates cultripes (western spadefoot toad) is the source of this 340-nucleotide non-coding RNA. NCBI's taxonomy places the organism in Eukaryota, Metazoa, Chordata, Amphibia, Anura, Pelobatidae. The record is from the annotation of a GenBank genome assembly.